CGAGCAGUUGUUCAACUAAACGAUUCUGCUGCUCGCUAUCA
This 41-nucleotide small RNA is filed under the name Vibrio cholerae O1 biovar El Tor str. N16961. Lineage: Bacteria; Pseudomonadati; Pseudomonadota; Gammaproteobacteria; Vibrionales; Vibrionaceae. The record is from RNAcentral.